Molecule: ribosomal RNA, 253 nt
Filed under: uncultured bacterium
Lineage: Bacteria
Description: partial 16S ribosomal RNA
Rfam family: Bacterial small subunit ribosomal RNA
Source: RNAcentral
UACGAAGGGGGCGAGCGUUGUUCGGAAUUACUGGGCGUAAAGCGUGCGCAGGCGGUUUUGUAAGCCGGAUGUGAAAUCCCCGGGCUUAACCUGGGAAUGGCAUUCGGGACUGCAAGGCUGGAGUGCGGCAGAGGAGACUGGAAUUCCUGGUGUAGCAGUGAAAUGCGUAGAUAUCAGGAGGAACACCGAUGGCGAAGGCAGGUCUCUGGGCUGACACUGACGCUCAUGCACGAAAGCGUGGGGAUCAAACAGG